This 901-nucleotide ribosomal RNA is filed under the name uncultured marine bacterium. RNAcentral's name for it is "bacterial SSU rRNA". It matches the Rfam family "Bacterial small subunit ribosomal RNA", at positions 57 to 1006 of the family's 1533-position model. The record is from RNAcentral.
GCAAGUCGAACGAAGUAGCAAUACUUAGUGGCAGACGGGUGAGUAACAUGUAGGUAUCUUCCCUUUGGUGAGGAAUAACACGAGGAAACUUGUGCUAAUACCUCAUAAGUCUUUACGGAGAAAGCUUUAUGCGCCAAUGGAUGAGCCUGCACUUGAUUAGUUUGUUGGUAGGGUAAUGGCCUACCAAGACAAUGAUCAAUAGCUGAUUUGAGAGGAUGAUCAGCCACAUUGGGACUGAGACACGGCCCAAACUCCUACGGGAGGCAGCAGUAGGGAAUCUUGCACAAUGGGGGGAACCCUGAUGCAGCGAUGCCGCGUGAGUGAAGAAGGCCUUUGGGUUGUAAAGCUCUUUCGUCGGGGAAGAAAAUGACUGUACCCGAAUAAGAAGGUCCGGCUAACUUCGUGCCAGCAGCCGCGGUAAUACGAAGGGACCUAGCGUAGUUCGGAAUUACUGGGCUUAAAGAGUUCGUAGGUGGUUAAAAAAGUUGGUGGUGAAAUCCCAGAGCUUAACUCUGGAACUGCCAUCAAAACUUUUUAGCUAGAGUAUGAUAGAGGAAAGCAGAAUUUCUAGUGUAGAGGUGAAAUUCGUAGAUAUUAGAAAGAAUACCAAUUGCGAAGGCAGCUUUCUGGAUCAUUACUGACACUGAGGAACGAAAGCAUGGGUAGCGAAGAGGAUUAGAUACCCUCGUAGUCCAUGCCGUAAACGAUGUGUGUUAGACGUUGGAAAUUUAUUUUCUGUGUCGCAGCGAAAGCAAUAAACACACCGCCUGGGGAGUACGACCGCAAGGUUAAAACUCAAAUGAAUUGACGGGGACCCGCACAAGUAGUGGAGCAUGUGGUUUAAUUCGAAGAUACGCGCAGAACCUUACCAACACUUGACAUGUUCGUCGCGACUUUAAGA